RNAcentral lists this ribosomal RNA (253 nucleotides) under uncultured bacterium. RNAcentral describes it as "partial 16S ribosomal RNA". It matches the Rfam family "Bacterial small subunit ribosomal RNA", at positions 524 to 776 of the family's 1533-position model. The record is from RNAcentral.
UACGAAGGGGGCUAGCGUUGCUCGGAAUCACUGGGCGUAAAGGGUGCGUAGGCGGAUGUUUAAGUCCGGGGUGAAAGACGGUCGCUCAACGAUCGCAGUGCCUUGGAUACUGGAUAUCUGGAGUACAGAUGAGGCUGAUGGAAUGGGUGGUGUAGCGGUGAAAUGCAUAGAUACCAUCCAGAACACCGAUUGCGAAGGCAGUCAGCUAAACUGCCACUGACGCUGAGGCACGAAAGUGUGGGGAUCAAACAGG